UGUGAGGUUAAGCGACUAAGCGUACACGGUGGAUGCCCUGGCAGUCAGAGGCGAUGAAGGGCGUGCUAAUCUGCGAUAAGCGCCGGUAAGGUGAUAUGAACCGUUAUAACCGGCGAUACCCGAAUGGGGAAACCCAGUGUGAUUCGUCACACUAUCAUUAACUGAAUCCAUAGGUUAAUGAGGCGAACCGGGGGAACUGAAACAUCUAAGUACCCCGAGGAAAAGAAAUCAACCGAGAUUCCCCCAGUAGCGGCGAGCGAACGGGGAGGAGCCCAGAGCCUGAAUCAGCAUGUGUGUUAGUGGAAGCGUCUGGAAAGGCGCGCGAUACAGGGUGACAGCCCCGUACACAAAAGCGCAUGUGCUGUGAGCUCGAUGAGUAGGGCGGGACACGUGGUAUCCUGUCUGAAUAUGGGGGGACCAUCCUCCAAGGCUAAAUACUCCUGACUGACCGAUAGUGAACCAGUACCGUGAGGGAAAGGCGAAAAGAACCCCGGCGAGGGGAGUGAAAAAGAACCUGAAACCGUGUACGUAC
Molecule: ribosomal RNA, 532 nt
Filed under: Salmonella enterica
Lineage: Bacteria; Pseudomonadati; Pseudomonadota; Gammaproteobacteria; Enterobacterales; Enterobacteriaceae
Description: partial 23S ribosomal RNA
Rfam family: Bacterial large subunit ribosomal RNA
Source: RNAcentral